AAAGGCCUCAAAAGUUUCAUAAUCAUUUAAUCCAUAGCACAAUAUGGGUGGAAAAUUAUAGAGGUAGAAUUGAAGGAGGUGUCAGUUCCCUGUGACAGAGGGCCACUAUGCACUGUAAAAACAUGCAUAAGACAGAAUAGCAUACCCAGAGAGUAUUGAUGGCAGGAAGAGUGCUGCUAGAGUUGUACAGUCCUAAGUUUAAGUUUACUUUAAGGCCGUAAAGGCAGAAGCUGCAGCAAAAGUCUGCUUAAUGCCUUAGUUGCACUCUAUAGACCAAUCAAGCCAACAUUUUUGGUAAGUGUACUGCAAAUUAGCCCCACACCCUUCUUGAGUGUCACUCCCAUCCUCCUCCCAUGCCUGCUCUGCUUUCUGCUCCCGGCCCUAUCUGCCCCUGUGUUCCCUGUUCCCUCCUGGGUCUUCUUUGUGCCACCCACAGAGGCUGUGCCUUGUGGCACAUGUGCUGCAGGUUGGCCACCCCUGCUAUAGAGACUGCCACCCACUCUUUGAGGUCAUGCUGGUCUUUUUCUGACCCAAUGGCAUGAAGGAGGCCAUUCCCACUUUCUGAGACUGAACCCACCUUUCUUUGUUGACUUGGUACCAUUUGUUGACAGGCAGCUCUGUGUAUGGAGUAUUAAAAGCCUAUGUGGAACUCCAGAGUUCAACCUGUAAGUCUCAUUCACUACUACUCAAUAGGUAAUCUCACUUUCUCAAAAAUUAAUUUUCAUUUGAAUUCUUUUACAUUUGGGCAGAUCUCAAGUGAAGAAUUUUAGAAAGUGUUACAAAAGACCAGCAAGCUGAUUUUUAAAGUUCAGGGCUUUGGAAGGUGAACAAGUUUCCAUUGCACUGUUCAGUGUGUUUUGCCUCUGUCAUCAUCUAGUUACUUGGAAAUCACUGGCUUUUACCUUUUAAAAUGUCUCAUAAUAUGCACAACUCCCAACUUGAGGUUUGAAAAGCCAAAGCUAUCCUGACUUGUCUACAGACAAAAGCUGUUUUUGGGCAUCUGGAGGAACAUGUAUCUGUAAUGUUUUGCCUGUUUUUUGAUGACCAAAUAAUAUUUCCUUGGGAGAUUAAUAUGAGUUGUGUUAUUAAUUUCAGUGGAAACAAGAGGCCCUUAAAUUAUCAGCUGUCUGCCUCAGGAGCUAUCCCUGAGCUCAGCCUUACUUUGUACAAUGCUGAGAAGAAUGUGAUUACUAAAUGAGAAAAAUAUGUUUAUUAAAAUAUUCCCAAGUUAUAUUAGUUUAUGCAAAAGGAUGAUGGAUAUAUUGCACUCCUGAUUUUACUGUUUCAAGGAAAAUCUCUGUCAAGUAUUUUCUUGAUUCCUGACAAAGCUCUAAAUCCCUUUCAAUCAGAUAUUUGUAUUUGUCUCACUGGAAUUUUUUCUUUUAGGAAUUUUCAAAGUAUUUCUGGAGGAACAAUAGAUUAAUUGUAGUUUCUUCUCUGAGAGGUACUAGAGACUUGUACCCAUUGAUUCACAGGAUAAGUUUCUAGAUGUCCUGCGACUUGAACUUCUAAUCUUCAACACUUUUUUUUUUUUUGAGUAGAGAAAGGAGAAAAAAAGUCUGUAGAAAAAGAGUAACCAAGGCAAACAAAGCUUAGCAUGUUUGUUUUAGAAAUGUUUCCUUAGAUAGUAUUUGCCACUGGAAUGUUAACAUUAGUCUUUAAACAAAUAAUGUUACUUUCCUCUCUACCUUUCAUCACAAGCCUCAAGAUCUAUUCGGACCA
Long non-coding RNA from Gavialis gangeticus (Gharial), 1722 nucleotides. RefSeq lists it as uncharacterized. The transcript is spliced from 2 exons. Lineage: Eukaryota; Metazoa; Chordata; Crocodylia; Gavialidae. The record is from RefSeq and is a predicted model, not a curated record.